CACGGGGGGAGCAAGCGUUGUUCGGAUUCAUUGGGCGUAAAGGGCUCGUAGGUGGCUUUGUAAGUCGGAGGUGAAAUCCCACGGCUCAACCGUGGACACGCCUUCGAAACUGUGAAGCUUGAGGCUGGGAGAGGAGAUCGGAAUUCCUGGUGUAGAGGUGAAAUUCGUAGAUAUUCGGAAGAACACCAGUGGCGAAGGCGACUCACUGGACACAUAUUGACGCUGAGGUGCGAAAGCGUGGGGAGCAAACAGG
RNAcentral lists this ribosomal RNA (253 nucleotides) under uncultured bacterium. RNAcentral describes it as "partial 16S ribosomal RNA". It matches the Rfam family "Bacterial small subunit ribosomal RNA", at positions 524 to 776 of the family's 1533-position model. The record is from RNAcentral.